UGAGUUAGUUGGAGAGAAGAUGGUUGCUUGCCUUAUCGUAGCUGAGGAGCUCUACAGUUUGUCCCUUAAAGACAAAGGCAGGAUUUGUUGGAGGGAGUUUAAGAUCACUUACCUGGUCUUAUGGACUGGAUCAAGCAGAAGGUCACUGGUAGUGAUACUGCAGUUUGAUGUGAUGUUCUAAUUGAAUUUGAGGCAGGUUAAGAAGAUUCAGUCCUAUCUGAUCAACUUCCAUGACUGAACAGCAGCAUAAAUAAGUUUGGCCACUGGGAAUACAGUACAGGGGUGGGACAACAAUCCCAUAAUUGAAGACCUACUUCUAGCACCAGCAUUGCGAAUUAAAUCCAUCAGAGGACUCUCAAAACCCAGGACAACUUGCCACCUCAGAGCAACUUAUGUGUUGAAGAGUGUAGAUGGAAGCAACAAUGCUCUCUAGUAUUUGAAAGUCAACCAGUGACUGCUCAUAGGCCUUGGAAGGGACCCCUCUGGAAGUUGUCCGGUCCAACCCUAUGCUCAGAGCAGGGCUAAGGGACAGCUCGUUGCUCGGAGGGGCUGCCAGGACCUAGAGUGGCCCAGGGGUGCACGAGCAGACUCGCCUGUGCACCUUCUUUCAAGAUCUUUGUGGUAAAAUAAGCUUUUAACAAGAACUGUAACAAUAUAUUUUUUUUUUUUCACCUCCAAACUGCUGAAGGAGCAGUUGGAGGAAAGUAAAGAAAUAAUUGCACCUGGUUUCAUCUCAAAAGUCGCAUUUUUGCAAAGCUGCCCCGGUCAGAAGUGUAGCCUUUUUAUGUGAUGAGACAGCAAAUGCCUCUCCUG
Long non-coding RNA from Pogoniulus pusillus (Red-fronted tinkerbird), 813 nucleotides. RefSeq lists it as uncharacterized. The record is from RefSeq and is a predicted model, not a curated record. Lineage: Eukaryota; Metazoa; Chordata; Aves; Piciformes; Lybiidae. The transcript has 4 exons.